RNAcentral lists this ribosomal RNA (3128 nucleotides) under Cladobotryum mycophilum. RNAcentral's name for it is "large subunit ribosomal RNA". It matches the Rfam family "Bacterial large subunit ribosomal RNA". Lineage: Eukaryota; Fungi; Ascomycota; Sordariomycetes; Hypocreales; Hypocreaceae. The record is from RNAcentral.
AGUUUUUAUUCUAAGAAUAAAAAGAAAAUAAAUGAUAUAUAACUAUUACUUAUAAAAAUAUAAGUAUAUAAAGAAACUAUUAUGGAAUUUAAGCUAUGUAUUAAAGAGAAUUAUUUAUACAUAUAGGAUACUUAUCCUAUAAUUAUAUGAACUCUAAGAGAAAUUUUGUAAUAAACGAAGUGAAUUGAAAUAUCUUAGUAACUUUAGGAAAAUAAAUCAAAAGAGAUUCUAUGAAUAGCGUGAGCGAAAGUAGAGCAGCCUAAUAAGUAAAACGGUAUCAAAACUGUUUAAACAUAAUGGGGAACCUUCCUCAAAGGCUAAAUAUAAUACAUAAGCGAUAGUGAAAAGUACCAUGAGGGAAAAAAAUAAAAAUAGUAGUUUUAUAAGCAGUUCAAAAUAAAGAACGUACCUUUUGCAUAAUGGGUCACCAAGUUAACGUUAGAUGCGAGAUAGUACGUAGUUAAACCGAACGUUAAAAUAACGAGAUAGUGUCUAAAGUUAGACCCGAAGCCUGGUGAUUUUACCAUAAUCAGGAUUAUAAAAGUCCGAACCGGUGAUUGUAGCAAAAAUCUCGGAAGAAUUAUGGUAGGUGUAGUGAAAGACAACACUGACUAGGAUAGCUGGUUUUCUGCGAAACCUAUAAUAGUAGGCAAUUUAAGCAAAUAUCUUAGCAGGUACAGAAUUUAAUCUCAGACAAGACAUAUUAAUGUUUUAUUUUGUACAAAUUGGGGGAUCGUGAAGAUUUUAUCAGUGAGUAUGUAGACUCGGAAUGGCAAAGAUAUAUCUUAAAUCAUCAGACAUAGAAUGAUAAGGUUGUAUGUCAAAAGGGAAACAGCCCAGAACAAGAGUUAAGGUUCCUAAAUUAUUAGUUAAGUGAAAUUAAGAGGGUUUUUAUUUAAGUCGACAAGGAGAUAGGCUUAGAAGCAGCCAUAAUUUUAUGACCUCGUAACAGAGCGCUUGUUAAGUUAUAAAAGCAUCGAAAAUAUAACGGAUCUAAACAAUAUACCGAAACCUUGUCCAUAACAUAUUAUAAUAAAUAGAUUUAUUGUAAUUAAAUGGGGUAGCAGAACGUUGAGCUAAAGUGUGAGUUUUAUUUUUUAAAGAAAAUUAUAAUAAUUUAACUCAAGUGAGAAUGGUGACAUGAGUAACUAAAAGAAAAUUUUCCGCCUAAAGCUUAUGGAUGUAAUUAAGUAACGGCCUCUAAGUUUAUAUAAUCUAAAGAUUUAGACGAUGAGAGAAUCUUUAUUACUAAAAACAACAUUUUAGUGUAAAAUGUGCUGGAAAAAUAGUAAUAUAUUUGUUAAAAAUAACAAAUAAAAUAACCGUACCUAGAAUCUGAAACAAGUAAGCUAGUAGAGAAUACGAAGGCGUAAAUGAGCUAACAAUCAUAAAGGAACUCGGCAAAUUGACUACCGUAACUUCGGAAUAAGGAGGGCUCAUUAUUCUUGGUUAAUAUCAAGUAAAGAGGAAGAAGCAUGAAAUAAUGUUGUACGACUGUUUAAUUAAAACACAGCACUUUGCUGAAAGAUAAAAAAUCUAAGUAUAAAGUGUGAUAUCUGCCCGGUGCCGGCUGGUUAACAGAUAUAAUUGAAUAUACUAAUAUUUGAUGUAGACGGAAACCCCGGUUAAAGGCGGCCUUAACGUGAGGGUCCUAAGGUAGCGAAAUGCCUUGGCCGUUAAAUGCGGUCUUGCAUGAAUGGUGUAACGAUACAACAGCUGUCUCUAUGAUUGACUCAGUGAAAUUGGAAUAGCUGUGCAGAUACAGUUUACCUCUAGUUAGACGAGAAGACCCUAUGCAGCUUUACUGUCACUAAUUAUAGAGUAUGAUAAACGAUUUUCAGAAUAUAAGGUAAUUGACAAAUAUGACAAUGAGAAACCUUUAUUCUUUUUUCAUAUGAAUGAAUUGGUUUAGGAUUAUGAGUAGUUUAUUAUUAAUGUGACUUUACGGAGUUAAUUUAAUUAUUAAUUAUAUUAAAUUUAUUAAUUAUAUUCUUUAAAUUAUUAUAUAGCUCAUUUUAGUAAAUCAACCUAAUUCAACUUAUUUAUUUAAAAAUAAAUAAGUACCCUUUGGUAAGGAACUAUCGCUAGGGGACAGUUUAUGUGGGGCACAGACCCUGUAAAGAGUAAACAGGAGUGUCUAAAAAUUUAUAAUUAUUUUGUUUGUUAUUUUGAGUAGUUUAACUAUUUUUAAUCAUAUACAAUUAUUUAUAUUUGCAUUUAAUGUAUAUAUAUUUAAGAUUAGGUAAGAUUUUCACUAUAUAGAAAUUAGAGAUAAUUGAAAAUAUUAUGAAAUUUCUAAUAUUUUCUAGCUAUUAUUUAUAAUGGUUAUGUGUUUAAUAUCUAAAAAGCUCAACGGCUAAAUCUUGCCUUACUGUUUGAUUAUCGACAAAUCUUACAGUUGCGUAAGCAGGGCAUAGGAUCACAAGAUGCAACAAGGAAAGAUCUUGGAUUAUUGGAAAAGCUACGCUAGGGAUGUUUGUCCUUUAAUAUUUUAUUUAAAAAUAAAAUUAUUAAUACAUAGAACCAUUUUGAAAGAAAUGGAAAUAGUAAAAUAUGAUAACAUAUAGAACAGGCUAAUUUGCGCAAGAGUGUACAAAAUGAGUGCGCGGUUUGGCACCUCGAUGUCGGCUUAACUUAUCCUCAUGGAUGCAGGAACUAUGUAGGGUGCGACUGUUCGUCGAUUAAAAAGUUACAUGAGCUGGGUUAAAUACGUCGUGAGACAGUAUGGUUUCUAUCUUCUAGGGGAAAUUAGAAUAAAAUAAGAACAAACUUUUGUACGAAAGGAACAAGAAGAGUUUAACUGUAAAAAGGUUAAACGAUGGUUACUAAUCUAUGGUUUACCUGUUGUUUAUGUGCCCAAAUAUUAAAUAUAUAUGUAAUUUUAUAUAUAUGUCUGUAUUUUUAUACAUAGGGAUGUUUCUUUCACUAAGAUAAAUAUAUAGCAUAAGCACGGCAGGAACGCUAAGUUAGUUAAGGAUAAGUGCUGAAAGCAUAUAGGCACGAAGCUUAUCUUAAGAUAUUUCUUAAAUAUGCGUAAUAGACUAUUACGAAAUAAUUAUAGGCUUUAUCCGUAAGAAUCUAGAGAUUUUCAAGAAUAAAGUACUAAUUUAAUAAAUAACUAUUUAUAA